Molecule: non-coding RNA, 2404 nt
Organism: Doryrhamphus excisus (bluestripe pipefish)
Lineage: Eukaryota; Metazoa; Chordata; Actinopteri; Syngnathiformes; Syngnathidae
Source: RefSeq, a predicted model, not a curated record
AGGAGAUCGCUCAUCGAGACUGCACGGGAACGUUGUGGAUGCCACCCACGUUGAGUUAUCACGCAGGAAUGCCGUAAAAAGUGAGUGCAGUGGGACAUACAUGCACGACAACAGGAAUCCUCGGUGGUUUUCCAGUUGCUAAGGUGACCGACCGUGCUUCAGGUGUGACAGAACAUUUCUUCUGGGAUGAAAUCUCCACAGGCCCUGGAGGAUUUGUGUUUUUCUAGACGCACAAACAGCCCGAGGACAUGACGCAAGAUUGAAGCCCAGCAAGCUAGAUAAAGACGCUUACACAGUGUUGGCCACAGCCAACACAAAAAAGGAAACGUCUUCUUUACUGAACAAAUGGAGAUAAACAGUUCCUCUGUUUUCCCUCUAUGCUGGUCUUUUAGGUACUGUGCUGUAUACUUUUUCAAAAAGCUUAGAAGGGAGAAUUCUGUCAUCCACACAUAUCCUCCGGGAAAUAUGUGUACGCACCACUGACUCCUCUGUGACCUUUCAUACAUGAUUAGGAACUCUAAUCAACUGAGUGUCACUCCCUGGAAAUAUAGCAUAUCCCAUUUCAUGCUGCUGUCAUGUCGCUGGCUGCUUGUCACUACGGUAACUGCUGCAUCGCGUCAAAACUCAAAACGCUUUUUUAGAAAAGCCUCCAAGAGCAUGGAAGGAAUGGAGUGACAGUUUUUUUUGUAACUGAGACACCUGGGAAUACGACUGAAAAAAGGGAUUGUGAAAGAUUUAACAAAAUGUAUCAUUUGAUAAUGAGACCAAGUCCCAAGUAAUCUUUUUUUUUGAGUGUGAAUGACCACAUCAUCAUUAGUCGAAUAUGCCACAGUAAAGAAUAAUUAAAACACAUAAGACGGGUUAGUGUUGCCAAAAUGUGUUGCUUUGUUGUUGAGGAAGGUGUUCCUUACAUGUUGUGAUUUAAAAAGAGGCACUUAUCAACCUACCUCAGGCCUCCCUCACUCACGGUGCAACACAGCAAGUAACUACAUACUACCACACAAUGUGGGUAUCGACAUUUUACACGCUUAAUAAAUGCAAAUAUUUAAUAGUAACUCAUUAACCACAAGGCAUGCUGGGAUGUGCACAGUACCCCAAAAUCAAAAGUUACCCGGCUUAUUUUGGAGGUCAUAAAUGAGUAUAAAAUGGCAUUGUUUUGCAUGUAUUUUAGUGUGUAUAUUCCAAUACCUGCAUAGCCCGUAUAAUAGUUAAAUGUGCUGCUUGUACAGAAAUCCCUCGCUACAUCGAAUAUCAAAUAUCCGUCACUCUCUUGGUUUUCCAAAAUGAAUUAAUUAAUAAAUAAUCACGGUUGAAUAUGGCCCUAUAUUAGUCAUCAAAUAUUGAAAUACAAGGUAUAUGUAUUAUUCUGGCUACUAGGCAUCAGUGAUGACACAAAACAUUAAUGAGACAUGACAUUACAUCAGUCAGCCAUGGCAUGUCCGAUAUAUGAUAAAGUGACGAGAAAUUCCCCUCCUAUUCCAUGUGGAAGUGGUACAUUCUGGAUUUUUUUUGUCUUUCUUCCCCACUCCAAUCAUAACCCUUUCUUAAGUUUAAAAUACAUAAGAAUAAGGCUAAUUAUUUAGUUCUCUAACAUGCUAUGCAUUUCAUGCUAUGCCAUUUCUUGUGUCCCAUAGGCUAAGCAUUAGCAAUGUGGUGGACACAAAGAACAAUAAGAGUGUAAAGGGGUGUGAUUUCAUGCCUACAUGGGUGUAAUAAUGGUUAAAAAAUUGAAAGUAAUAAACUUGUUUUCUAUGCUCUAACUACAAAAAAAAAAUCCAUUUAUUAACAUUGAAUUUUGCAGAAAUCAGUGUCAAAAUACACGUUGUUGCAGUUGUCUCAGUUCAUCGUUUUUUACAUUUGUGGCUGGCCUGAGAACAAAUCACUUAGAGACGACAUUAAACUUCCUGUAAAUUGUAUUUGUGCAAGCAUGUCUUGUGACAUUUAAAUAUCCUUCUGCUCUUCGUAUGUAGAAUACUCUGCAUGUGGCGAGAACGCAUGAUAAAGAUACACAGUUACAGUACAUAGGUACAAACGCUACCUGACAUAAAGAGAGUAACCUGCCAAAACACGCCCAUACCCACUCUAAACACGGUGGGUAGCAAUAGGCUACACGGCAGAUGUUGCCUUCUCUUAUGAGCAGGAACCCUUUCUACUGUUUGAACAUGUCUUUCUGCAUGGAUGAGCACAUGCAUACGGGCGCCAAGACAGCUGUCCGCCAUGCAUAAUGUGUCCUUUGAGACCCCCCCUCUGGCAGGUGGAAGUCCACUAGAGUCUUGGGCAUCUCAGCACUGUGGGAAGGUCCACAAACAUAUGGUACUGAAUAGGGAUGUGCAGAGGUUUUCCUUGAAUUUGGUUACACGUAGUUAAAAUGCAAUGAGGGUCUUGUGAAUGACAAAUGAUGGUG